AGAGUUUGAUUCUGGCUCAGGAUGAACGCUAGCUACAGGCUUAACACAUGCAAGUCGAGGGGAAACGACAUCGAAAGCUUGCUUUUGAUGGGCGUCGACCGGCGCACGGGUGAGUAACGCGUAUCCAACCUGCCCACCACUUGGGGAUAACCUUGCGAAAGUAAGACUAAUACCCAAUGACGUCUCUAGAAGACAUCUGAAAGAGAUUAAAGAUUUAUCGGUGAUGGAUGGGGAUGCGUCUGAUUAGCUUGUUGGCGGGGUAACGGCCCACCAAGGCAACGAUCAGUAGGGGUUCUGAGAGGAAGGUCCCCCACAUUGGAACUGAGACACGGUCCAAACUCCUACGGGAGGCAGCAGUGAGGAAUAUUGGUCAAUGGACGAGAGUCUGAACCAUCCAAGUAGCGUGCAGGAAGACGGCCCUAUGGGUUGUAAACUGCUUUUAAUAAGGGAAUAAAGAGAGUCUCGUGAGACUUUUUGCAUGUACCUUAAAAAAAAGGACCGGUUAAAUUCCCGUGCCAGCACCCCGCGGUAAUACAGAAAGUCCGGGCGUUUUCCGGGAAUUUAUUCGGGGUUUAAAGGGAGCGUAGGCCGGAAAUUAAACGUGUUGUGNNNUGUNGNUGCUCUCCUUCUGNNCUGCUGCGCGNNCUGGUUUCCUUGNGUNCGCUCUNNGUGGGCGGNNUUCGUGGUGUNGCGGUGNNNUGCUUNGNUNUCGCGNNGNNCUCCGNUUGCGNNGGCUGCUCUCUGGNGCGCUUCUGNCGCUGNNGCUCGNNNGUGCGGGUCUCGAAAAGGCUUCGNUCCCCUGGUNGUCCGCNCGGUCACCCCCAAAAGGGCGCUGUUGGUUUGAAUAGGUCCAGCGGCCAAGCGAAAGCAUUAUGCAUCCCCCCUGGGGGGUGCGCCGGCGGCGGGGAAACUCAAAGGAAUUGACGGGGGCCCGCACACGCGGGGGGACAUGUGGUUUUUUUUGAUGAUACGCGAGGGACCUUACCCGGGCGUGAAUUGCAGAGGAAG
RNAcentral lists this ribosomal RNA (1008 nucleotides) under uncultured bacterium. Its description in RNAcentral is "partial 16S ribosomal RNA". It matches the Rfam family "Bacterial small subunit ribosomal RNA", at positions 8 to 997 of the family's 1533-position model. The record is from RNAcentral.